AAUAUUGGACAAUGGGGGCAACCCUGAUCCAGCCAUGCCGCGUGUGUGAAGAAGGUCUUCGGAUUGUAAAGCACUUUAAGUUGGGAGGACGGGUUGUAGGUUAAUACCCUGCAAUUGUGACGUUACCAACAGAAUAAGCACCGGCUAACUUCGUGCCAGCAGCCGCGGUAAUACGAACGGUCCACGCGUUAAUCGGAAUUACUGGGCGUAAAGCGCGCGUAGGUGGUUCGUUAAGUUGGAAGUGAAAGCCCCGGGCUUAACCUGGGAAUUGCUUUCAAAACUGACGAGCUAGAGUACGGUAGAGGGUAGUGGAAUUUCCUGUGUAGCGGUGAAAUGCGUAGAUAUAGGAAGGAAGACCAGCGGCGAAGGCGAAUCUCUGGACAGUUACUGACGCUGAGGCACGAAGGCCAGGGGAGCGAACG
RNAcentral lists this ribosomal RNA (422 nucleotides) under uncultured bacterium. RNAcentral describes it as "partial 16S ribosomal RNA". It matches the Rfam family "Bacterial small subunit ribosomal RNA", at positions 360 to 774 of the family's 1533-position model. The record is from RNAcentral.